ACUCCUACGGGAGGCAGCAGUGGGGAAUAUUGCACAAUGGGGGAAACCCUGAUGCAGCCAUGCCGCGUGUGUGAAGAAGGCCUUCGGGUUGUAAAGCACUUUCAGUAGGGAGGAAGGUAGUGUAGUUAACACCUGCAUUAUUUGACGUUACCUACAGAAGAAGCACCGGCUAACUCCGUGCCAGCAGCCGCGGUAAGUACGGAGGGUGCGAGCGUUAAUCGGAAUUACUGGGCGUAAAGCGCAUGCAGGCGGCCUGUUAAGUCAGAUGUGAAAGCCCGGGGUCUUAACCUCGGAAUUGCAUUUGAAACUGGCAGGCUAGAGUCUGUAGAGGGUUAGAAUUUCAGGUGUAGCGUGAAAUGCGUAGAGAUCUGAAGGAAUACCGAGUGGCGAACGGCGGCCCCCUGGACAAAGACUGACGCUCAGAUGCGAAAGCGUGGGAGCAAACAGGAUUAGAAU
Molecule: ribosomal RNA, 456 nt
Filed under: uncultured bacterium
Lineage: Bacteria
Description: bacterial SSU rRNA
Rfam family: Bacterial small subunit ribosomal RNA
Source: RNAcentral